GUCGACGAUGCUCUAGGAUUAGCAGAAAAACACUUUUGCGUUGCACAAGGUUUUGAUUGCCAAAGCUGGACUUGACUGAGCAGAUACAUUGACGAUGUUCAUCAAGGGGUUGUUGGAUAUCUUGACCGGUCUGCAGUACUUGGAAGAAAACUUCCUAGGUACUGGUGGAGAUGUGGAACUAAUGAAAACAGAACAUAUCAGACAUUAUGGGCCUCCUGUGUGAAAUUGAGGAGCCGAGCCAAGCCUUUUGUUCCUUACGGUGUCUUCUAUUCUUAGAGGCUGAUUUCUGUGUGCAAAACUGCCCCUGCAGGUUAGUGACCGGAGAUUGUGGCAUAAUGCUGCUCCGGAUCAACUUGCUUUUUGAUGCAAACUGACAGUAAUCAUGAGGAAGAGAGCUGAGCUCCUUUGAUUGUGAAAAAAGUCCCUUUGAUCUUUUGGUGUUAAGAGGAUUGUACUUCACAAUAUUGGUUCAAUGCCGUUGAUAUUUUUAUGUGAGAUAUCUGCUUUCCA
Non-coding RNA from Triticum urartu, 510 nucleotides. Lineage: Eukaryota; Viridiplantae; Streptophyta; Magnoliopsida; Poales; Poaceae. The record is from RefSeq and is a predicted model, not a curated record.